CGAAGCCCGGAGCAGGGCUGACCCCAGGGCCUCAAACCCGGAGGCCCGCGAGCUGCGCGGGCCGUCAGCACCCCUAGCCCCGGCGCGGCGGCGUGCGUUCCCGCCUUUGUCCAGCUCUGGGUUUUCAAACCUUGCCCCGCUGAACCAUUACUCCCUGUAGGGGAGUCUCGCUUGCUUCUCUUCAGAUGCAAAACGAAAUGGACCUUCACACAGCUGGGGCAUCCUCCAAAACAACUUUAUCAAGUUCCUGACUCUGAAAGCCAGCUUAUUGCCGACUACUGAGAACGAACCCUGCGGUCUAGGAAAUUUCCGUGCUUCUCACAUUUGAGUUAUGCGUCUUUGCUUUUUUUCACGUUUGUUGCAGAGGCUAGAACUUAAUAAGGGAUCGCAAAGAGAAGAGAACAGACUAAGACAGAAAAUUGGGACCAAGAAGUGGAGUUAUUUCUGUUACAAAUACUUGAAAUUGUGCAAGCAGCUUUGGAAUUCGGUAAUGAGUAGAGGCUACAAGAAUUUGGAGGAGCAAGCAAGAAAAGGUACAUAUUGCCAUGAACAGACCAUGAAGGACAAUUCUGAUGAAGGCUUAGAAAAAGAUCCCAGAAUUAGGAAAGUCUAAAUCUUCCUAAAAAUGUUGAGAAAAAUAUAGACAGUAACAGUCAUUCUGACAAGUUCCAGACAAAAAUGGGGAACAAGGUAUUGGAAACUGGAAUAAAGACCAUUCUUGUUAUAAGAUAGCAAAGACCUUGGCUGAAUUAUGCCUAUAUCCUAAGACUUUAUGGAAUGCAGAACUUAAAAGUGAUGAACUUGGAUAUAUGGUGGAAGAAAUAUCAAAGCAGUGAGCCAUUCAGACUUCUGUCUGGCUACUUUUAACUACAUGCAGUGAGAUAUGAGAGCAAAGGUAUUAACUAAUUUAAAGGGAAGCAGAGUGAAAAGAUUUGGAAAAUUUGCAUCUUGGCCAGAUAAAAACUGAAAAGCCUGUUCAGGAGAGAACACUAAGGGUGUGGAUGGUGACCAUUUGUUAAAGAGGUUAAUAUGAAUAAAGGGAGCCAGGUGCUACUCAUCAAGACAAUGGGAAAAGAUCCUGCAAGCAUUUCAGAGAUCUUCCAGGCUAACCCUGCCAACACAGAUCCAAUGCUGUAGGAGGGCAGAAUGGUUUUGAGCAAUGGGCCCUGAGUGCCCUCCAUGGGCUUGCCACCCAGAGCCACCUCACGUCUCUGCUCCACCCAUUUCAUUACAGUGCUCCUCAGACACCCUAGGUGUGACUUGACCUGUCACUCCAGAAGAUUCAAGUGGCAAAUCUUAGUGGCAUCCACAUGAUGUUAAGUCUGCAGGUGUCCAGAAUGCAAGAGCUGUAGGGGCAUGAUUUUCUCCAUCUAGAUUUCAAAGGAUGUUGCAUACGGCCUUUGGAGACCCAGACAGAGACUUGUCACAGGGCAGAUCUGCCAAAGAGAGCCCCCACCAGGGCAAUGCCUAAUGAAGCUGUGGAAGUGGGACUGCCACCAAGACCCCAGAACUACAGAGCCAACAGCAUACAUCAUCAACCCAAGAGAGCUGAGUCAUGGGCUGAGCCCAGCAAAGCUGUGGGGCUGUGGCUAACCAAGGCCAUGGUGGCCCAAUCCCUACAUCAGUGUGCUCAGGAUGUGGGAUAUAGAGUCAAAGGAGAUUGUUCUCUGGCUUUAUGACAUAAUGCUCUCUGUUGGGUUUUGGGCUUACUUGGGACCUCUUAUUUCUUCUUGCCUAUUUAUCCCUUUUGGAAUGAGAAUUUCUGUCUAAUGCCUGUCUCACCAUUGUAUUUUGGAAAUAGAUUUUACAGGCCCACAUCUGGAAGGAAUUUGCCUCAAGGUGAAUCAUGCUGUAAGUCUCAUCCAUAUCUGAUUUAGAUGAGACUUUGGACUUUAGAUUUUUGAGUUACUGCUGGAAUUAGUUAAGGCUUUGGGGGCCACUGGGAUGGAAUGAAUGUAUUUUGCACUGUGAAAAGUAUAUAUAUUUGGGGGGCCAUGGGUGGAAUGCUAUGGUUUGAAUAUUUCAUGUGUUGGAAAGUUAAUUUUCAACGCAACAGUGUUGGCAGGUGGGGCCUAAUAAGAGGUUAAUUGGGCCAUGAGGGCAGACCCCUCAUGAAUGGAUUAAUGUCAUUAUCCUAGUAAUGGGAUACUUUUUCUGAGGGUAAAUUAUUAUAAAAGUGAGUUUGGCCAAUUUGCUGUCUGUCUCACAUGCUUGCUUCCACCUUCUACCCUUCUACCAUGGGAGGACCCUCACCAGAUGCCAGUGCAAUGCUUAAACUUCCCAGCUUCCAGAAUUGUGAACCGAAUGAAAUUAUUUUCAUUAUAAAUUACCCAGGUUACAGCAACAAAACAUGAACUAAGACACAUUAUAAAAAGAAAAGCUGAAGGAUAAAUUAGUAGUCAUCUCACCCAACAGGCAGUGCUAUUCUUGGAGCAGAGUAUGGAAAAUUAACAGAAAGCCAAAGAAACGUGAAAGAAACCAAGGUUAAGGUUCCAGGUACUGAGUGUCUAGUACAUGCCAGAAAGCAGACUAGGUUCUUUAUAUCUACUAUCUUAAAGCCCUAGCAGCCUUACCAAAGUUCCUACAAGAAGAAAGUGGAAGCUUCCUUUGGUGGAGCCUAUACGACAGCUUUGGUGAAGCAUAUACUCAGCAGGGAUUCUGGAAGAAGGUUGUGGUCAGCUGAGAAGUUCCCAUGAGAUAAGUGCUAUCCAAUAGAACAAAAACGCCUUAAAUAUAUGUACAGUUGACCUUUGAACAACACAGGGGUUACAGAUGCCAACGCCGAUGCAGUGAAAAAUCUGAGUAUAACUUUUGACUCUUCAAAACACAAUUACUAAUAGCCUACUGUUGACCAGAAGCCUUAUUAGAAACAAUUAACACAUACUUUGUAUGUUAUACAUGUUAUAUAUUGAAUUAUUACAAUAAAGUAAGAUGGAGAAAAGAAAA
Homo sapiens (human) is the source of this 2946-nucleotide long non-coding RNA. RefSeq annotates it as PRDM5 divergent transcript. The transcript is spliced from 2 exons. NCBI's taxonomy places the organism in Eukaryota, Metazoa, Chordata, Mammalia, Primates, Hominidae. The record is from RefSeq and is a predicted model, not a curated record.